AUUGAACGCUAGCGGGAUGCCUUACACAUGCAAGUCGAACGGAGUGGCGAACGGGUGAGUAAUGUAUCGGAACGUGCCCAGUCGCGGGGGAUAACUACGCGAAAGCGUAGCUAAUACAGCAUCCUAUUGGAGCGGCCGAUACCGGAUUGGCUAGUUGGUGGGGUAACGGCUCACCAAGGCCACGAGCCGUAGCUGGUUUGAGAGGACGACCAGCCACACUGGGAUGGAGACACGGCCCAGACUCAGACGGUAGGCAGCAGUGGGGAAUUUUGGACAAUGGGGGAAACCCUGAUCCAGCCAUCCCGCGUGUGCGAUGAAGGCCUUCGGGUUGUAAAGCACUUUUGGCAGGAAGGCGGUACCUGCAGAAUAAGCACCGGCUAACUACGUGCCAGCAGCCGCGGUAAUAC
RNAcentral lists this ribosomal RNA (407 nucleotides) under uncultured bacterium. RNAcentral's name for it is "partial 16S ribosomal RNA". It matches the Rfam family "Bacterial small subunit ribosomal RNA", at positions 30 to 526 of the family's 1533-position model. The record is from RNAcentral.